GCCUAUAAUCCCAGCUACUCAGGAGGCUGAGAUAAGAUCACCCCAGCCUAAGAGUUCUGGCCUGUAGUGGGCUCUGCCAGUCAGGUGUCUACACUAAGCUCAGCAUCCAUAUAAUUACCUCCAAGGAGUAGGGGGACCACCAGGCUGCCUAAGGAGGGGUGAACUAGCCCAGGUUGGAAACAGAGGUCAAAACUCCCGUGCCGAUCACUAGUGGGAUCACGCCUGUGAGCAACCACUGCACUCCAGCCUGGGGCAACACAGCAAGACCCCAUCUCA
Piliocolobus tephrosceles (Ugandan red Colobus) is the source of this 276-nucleotide unclassified non-coding RNA. It matches the Rfam family "Metazoan signal recognition particle RNA". From Rfam's summary of the family: The signal recognition particle (SRP) is a universally conserved ribonucleoprotein. It is involved in the co-translational targeting of proteins to membranes. The eukaryotic SRP consists of a 300-nucleotide 7S RNA and six proteins: SRPs 72, 68, 54, 19, 14, and 9. The record is from Ensembl. NCBI's taxonomy places the organism in Eukaryota, Metazoa, Chordata, Mammalia, Primates, Cercopithecidae.